Long non-coding RNA from Chloebia gouldiae (Gouldian finch), 1154 nucleotides. NCBI's taxonomy places the organism in Eukaryota, Metazoa, Chordata, Aves, Passeriformes, Passeridae. The record is from Ensembl.
CCUGGAGCUGCUGGCGGUGGCCAACGCCGCAUCCCAGCCCCACAACUGCAGCACCUCGGCCGGUAGGUGACCCCCACCUGCCCUGGGCUGGUCCCCACCACCUCUGGUGACCCCCGUGACCACCUCGUGCUCUCCCCUCUCCCAGCCGGGCUCUGCUUCACCGCCACCUCCGCCAGAGCCACCAGAGCCGCGCCGCUGGCGCUCAACGCCACCGAGCUCUGCCGGAGGCACGCGCCGGCCAACUUCAGCCGGUUCUACUUCCCGUACCGCACGGCCAACGGGCUCCUCUGCGUCACCAACUGCACCCUCAACGUCCCCGGCUCCUUCGAUUGCCACCGCGGGCUCUGCCGGCUCACCCUGGACGGGCCCCAGUGCUUCUGCCCGGACCUGCCCUGGUACCUCUCGGCCGGUGACCGCUGCCAGACCCACAUCAGCAAACUGGGGCUGGGGCUGGGCGUGGGGCUGGGGCUGGGCCUGACCAUCCUCAUCCUCCUCAUCCUCUGCAUCGUCCUCACCGUCCGCUUGGCCCGAGGGAGGCCGAAAUCACCCGGACCAAGCGCGGCCGCCGAGGAGACUUGGCCGGACGGGGGCCGCAACAGCCGCGUCACCGGGAUCUACCACGUCAACGGCAGAGGCGGCGGUGCCGGGAAAGGUGGGUCCCGAAACGGGCGGUGAAACCGUCGCCGGAGAGGGAAAAUCCCCCAAAAUCCUCACGGGGUCAUGGUCCUCCUCCUCCUCCUCUUCCUCCUCGCAGGUCCCUACGGAUACAACACCUACAAUCCCAGCUCAGAGGUGGCCGAACCCCCGGCGUCGGUGGUGGCAGAAGGUGCAGCGGCCCUGUGACCGCCCCCCAUACCUGGGAGGGGGUGACCAAGGUGCCCCCCAAGACCUUCAGCAUCAUCAGGCAGCAGCCGAAGCCCUCGGAACCCUCAUUUUUGGGGGAAAAAAAGCUGGAAUCGGGAUUCUCUAUGAGAGAGGAGAGGUCCUCCCAUGCUCCUUUUUGGGGGGGGUUCUCCUUGGAGAGGACAUCUCAGGGGGGGUUUGGGGUUGGCUCCAGCUUUGGGAGCGUCACCGGAGCUGGAAAAUCCUCAUCUCCACGGAAAUUAUAUUUAUUAAUGUAUUUAUUUCAUCUCCUGAAAAAUCGUCCAAAAAAG